AUACGUAGGUGACAAGCGUUAUCCAGAUUUACUGGGCGUAAAGGGCGUGUAGGCGGUCUUGCAAGUCAGAAGUGAAAUUCCUGAGCUCAACUCGGGCGCUGCUUCUGAAACUGCAGGACUUGAGUGCUGGAGGGGAUAGCGGAAUUCCUAGUGGAGCGGUAAAAUGCGCAGAUAUUAGGAAGAACACCGGUGGCGAAGGCGGCUAUCUGGACAGUAACGGAAGCUGAGGGGCGAAAGCUUGGGGAGCAAACAGGAUUAGAUACCCUGUUAGUCCACGCCGUAAACGAUGAAUACUAGGUGUAGGGGGUAUCGACUCCCUCUGUGCCGCAGUUAACACAAUAAGUAUUCCGCCUGGGGAGUACGGCCGCAAGGUUGAAACUCAAAGGAAUUGACGGGG
Molecule: ribosomal RNA, 397 nt
Filed under: uncultured bacterium
Lineage: Bacteria
Description: partial 16S ribosomal RNA
Rfam family: Bacterial small subunit ribosomal RNA
Source: RNAcentral